This 253-nucleotide ribosomal RNA is filed under the name uncultured bacterium. RNAcentral describes it as "partial 16S ribosomal RNA". It matches the Rfam family "Bacterial small subunit ribosomal RNA", at positions 524 to 776 of the family's 1533-position model. The record is from RNAcentral.
UACGUAGGGGGCAAGCGUUGUCCGGAUUUAUUGGGCGUAAAGAGCGUGUAGGCGGCCAGGUAGGUCUGCUGUGAAAACUGGAGGCUUAACCUCCAGACGUCGACGGAAACCGCGUGGCUAGAGUCCGGAAGAGGAGAGUGGAAUUCCUGGUGUAGCGGUGAAAUGCGUAGAUAUCAGGAAGAACACCGAUGGCGAAGGCAGUGGGCUGGGCCGGUACUGACGCUGAGGAGCGAAAGCGUGGGGAGCGAACAGG